GGCCAUACCAAGAAGGAUCUCUUGCAGCUACCGCAAUUGCCUUAUCCAGCUCAUCUACCUGCCAUUCAAUGCUUUCACAGUUGGCAAGGAGCUCUUUGGUUAAAUGAACACGUUCUCCAGUGUUUGAAGGGGUCUGUUCCCAUCUAUGGUAAGUAGCUUGCAGGUUAUCAAUUGAUUCCUGAAUUUCCUCUUUGACAAUGUAAAAUGGAUCUUGAGCUGGAGUCAUCUUGCUUUUAGUUUCAAUGUCCAUGAUGAGAUCCGGAGUGAAAAA
RNAcentral lists this unclassified non-coding RNA (271 nucleotides) under Hevea brasiliensis (rubber tree). Lineage: Eukaryota; Viridiplantae; Streptophyta; Magnoliopsida; Malpighiales; Euphorbiaceae. The record is from RNAcentral.